RNAcentral lists this ribosomal RNA (1511 nucleotides) under metagenome. RNAcentral describes it as "bacterial SSU rRNA". It matches the Rfam family "Bacterial small subunit ribosomal RNA". The record is from RNAcentral.
AGAGUUUGAUCCUGGCUCAGAACGAACGCUGGCGGCACGCUUAAUACAUGCAAGUCGAACGAGAAAGUUCCUUCGGGAGCGAGUACAGUGGCGAACGGGUGAGUAACACGUAGGUGACCUACCUUAUAGUGGGGGACAACAGAGAGAAAUUUCCGCUAAUACCGCAUACGCUAAGUAACUUUGAAAAUAACUUAGGAAAGAUAGCCUCUUUACAAUGCUGUCGCUAUGAGAUGGGCUUGCGGGUCAUUAGUUUGUUGGUGGGGUAACGGCCUACCAAGGCGAUGAUGGCUAGCCGGUCUGAGAGGAUGAUCGGCCACACUGGAACUGAGACACGGUCCAGACUCCUACGGGAGGCAGCAGUAGGGAAUAUUGCGCAAUGGGCGAAAGCCUGACGCAGCGAUGCCGCGUGAGUGAGGAAGGCCUUCGGGUUGUAAAGCUCCGUCCUCAGGGAAAAAUGGCACUGGGUUAAAAUACAGUGUUUGAUGGUACCUAAGAAGAAAGCACCGGCUAACUUCGUGCCAGCAGCCGCGGUAAUACGAAGGGUGCAAGCGUUGUUCGGAUUUAUUGGGCGUAAAGGGCGCGUAGGCGGAUAGAUUAGUCAGGUGUGAAAUCUCGAGGCUUAACCUCGAAACUGCGCCUGAAACUGUUUAUCUAGAAUCUCAGAGAGGGAAGGGGAAUUUCGCAUGUAGGAGUAAAAUCCGUAGAGAUGCGAAGGAACACCGGAGGCGAAAGCGCCUUCCUGGAUGAGCAUUGACGCUGAGGCGCGAAAGCGUGGGGAGCAAACAGGAUUAGAUACCCUGGUAGUCCACGCCGUAAACGAUGAGCACUAGUUGCAGGGCAGACCAACUGCUCUGUUACGCAGCUAACGCAUUAAGUGCUCCGCCUGGGGAGUACGGCCGCAAGGCUAAAACUCAAAGGAAUUGACGGGGGCCCGCACAAGCGGUGGAUGAUGUGGUUUAAUUCGAAGCUACGCGAAGAACCUUACCUAGGUUUGAAAUCCCGAGAAUCCCUCCGAAAAGAGGGAGUGCCCUUCGGGGAAUUCGGUGACAGGUGUUGCAUGGCUGUCGUCAGCUCGUGUUGUGAAAUGUUGGGUUAAGUCUCGCAACGAGCGUAACCCCUGUUCUUAGUUGCCAGCAUUAAGUUGGGCACUCUAAGAAGACUGCCGGGGUUAACCCGGAGGAAGGUGGGGAUGACGUCAAGUCCUCAUGGCCCUUAUACCUAGGGCUACACACGUCAUACAAUGGACAGUACAAGGGGAUGCAAACCUGCAAAGGGGAGCAAAUCUCUAAAAGCUGUUCUCAGUCCGGAUUGGAGUCUGCAAUUCGACUCCAUGAAGUUGGAAUCGCUAGUAAUCGUGGAUCAGCAUGCCACGGUGAAUACGUUCCCGGGCCUUGUACACACCGCCCGUCACACCACGGGAGUUAAUUCAACCUGAAGUCGUGACCCUAACCUUUCGAGGAUGGGAGCGCCCACGGUGGGAUUGGUGACUGGGGUGAAGUCGUAACAAGGUA